Molecule: long non-coding RNA, 275 nt
Organism: Hirundo rustica (Barn swallow)
Lineage: Eukaryota; Metazoa; Chordata; Aves; Passeriformes; Hirundinidae
Exons: 3
Source: RefSeq, a predicted model, not a curated record
GGGAGAGGAAUGGAAUCAAUGGUUUAUUCCAUGGCGGGCCGGGACUGGAGUGUCCUCAGCGAAACUCCGGUGCUUUCGCAGCCGCAAUGGCAAUGCAUUGUCUCCUUCCUGACCUUGGAUUACAGUCCACACUGAAAAAAAAAAAAUAAAUAAAGUGAUUAAGAAUAAAAGUUUAAGUGGAUUUAUUUGUAAAUGCUGUUUGUGGCCUUCCCAUAAUGAAUCAGCUUUUCCCCUACAAGUCAUGCUAAGUACUAGUUAGCAAAUUACCUAUUCUC